GAUGAAGAACGCAGCGAAAUGCGAUAAGUAGUGUGAACUGCAGAAUUCAGUGAAUCAUCGAAUCUUUGAACGCACAUUGCGCCCCUUGGUAUUCCAUGGGGCAUGCCUGUUCGAGCGUCAUUUGUACCUUCAAGCUCUGCUUGGUGUUGGGUGUUUGUCUCGCCUCUGCGUGUAGACUCGCCUCAAAACAAUUGGCAGCCGGCGUAUUGAUUUCGGAGCGCAGUACAUCUCGCGCUUUGCACUCAUAACGACGACGUCCAAAAGUACAUUUUUACACUCUUGACCUCGGAUCAGGUAGGGAUACCCGCUGAACUUAAGCAUAUCAAUAAGCGGAGGA
This 337-nucleotide unclassified non-coding RNA is filed under the name soil metagenome. Its description in RNAcentral is "partial contains 5.8S ribosomal RNA, internal transcribed spacer 2, and large subunit ribosomal RNA". The stretch from base 1 to 120 matches the Rfam family "5.8S ribosomal RNA", at positions 35 to 154 of the family's 154-position model. The record is from RNAcentral.